UUGUAGUCUGCCCAGACUGCACAGACUGGGGGAUUUAACAAAAGAAAUUUAUUUUCUCAAGAUCAAGGUUCUAGCCAACUCACUUUCUGGGGAAGGCUCUCUUUCUCAGUUGCAGAUGGCUGCCUUAUCACUAUGUCAUGUGGCCUUUCUUCAGUAUGUGGGGAGAGGGGGAGAGAGAGCGAAAGAGCAAGCGAGUGAGCAAGAACAAGCCCUCUAUCUCAGGAUACUAAUCCUGUUGGAUCAGGGCCACACCCUUAUGAUCUCAUACAAUCUUAAUUACUUUACUACAAAUAUGACUACACCAGAGAUUAGGGUUUCAACAUAUGAGUUUGAGGGGGACACAAACAUUCAGUUUAUAACAGAUGGUAAAUAAAGAGGGAGCAACCAGGGAGGGCAUUUGAAAGAGGUAGUAUCUGACUAGGCUCUUGGAGAAUGGAUUUUAACCAUUAGAGAUUGUAAGGAGGGAUUCCAAGUAGAUGAAACAGCUUGACCAAUGUCAUAACAGGGAGAAAGAAAAGAGUAUGUUCAGUACGCAGAGCAUUCAGCUAAUUCACCUGCGGGAUAUACCUCUAGGAGUGAAUAGUAUUCAGGAAGUUGAGAAAGGGAAGAUGUAACUAGAUUGUUGAAUACCUUGUAAAACAUCCGUUGCUGGUGUCACCACUCAUCUAUCUAGCCAUAUGACCCUUGUGUUUCUUUACUUCUGUUUAUCUCAGCAUCCCCGUGUAUUAGUAGAAAAAAAUCUCUGAAGUUUAUUCUAACUCAGUGAGUCUACACUUAAUAACAAGUAAGUGAUUUAAGUUUAAUGAGUGUUAUGUGUUUGUGUGUGCCUGCAUACUUUCAUAUUUGUGUCUCACACCAGCAGAUGUGCAGUUUCUGCAAAUGUUUGAUAAUAGGUAGAAAAAUCUAUUUUGGCUUUCUAAGUUGGAUUUCAAUUUCUCCCACCCCUCCACGAAUUGGGAACCUUAUUCAGCAUAUUUUAAGCACCCAACCUGGACCUUGCAGGGAGGAUAGAUUAGGCAAAUACAGAAGAUAUAUGGCUUCCCCUGCCUUGUUCCAUACCCUUUUUCUGACUUCACUGGCCCUGUUACUUUCUCCUGCUUUUGACUUGAUUUCCCUCAUAUCUGAUCUUUCUACCCUGUUAUGGAAACUUAAUCCCGAAGCCUUCUUUCAUAUUCAGUUAUAGACAAUUGGGUAAAGGUACCCUCAAGCCUGCAGUAACAUUUGCUUUUUAUUAGGAAGUAGGCCUUAAACUAUACAAAUGAAACAUAAAUAGCAAACUUCUAGAUGUUAAUAAAUAGAGAAGCUAGUAGGUAGGAGGAAGGGGGAUUUUAUGAUGUUCCUAAAAGCCUUAGAAGUGGAGCUUGAAAACCAUUUCCAGUCCCAGAACCAUUUAAUGUAACUUUACAUCUAUUUAUUCUUAGCACUGGACCUGUCUUGGUUAUUUUUAGCCAGACAAUUACUGCUGUUUACUCAUUUUCUAGAAUUCUAGGCAUAAUUAUUGAUUUACCCAUAAAAAUACUUGGAGAACUUUGACCCAGUCCAUAUAAUUUGAUAGAUAAUUCUUCCUCCUUGGAAAUGGUCACUAGGUAAACAGCUUGUCUCUCAUUCUAGAGGUUCAGUCUUAAUGAAUCUUUCCAAAAUAAAUAAGCUCUAGAAUUAAAGUUGAAGAGCUGUUUUCCUCAGAAACAGAGGCAUAUUUCUCCUCAAUAAAUAGAUGUUCUUAUAAUCACCUUACAGUGCUUAGUUUUUUUUUUUCAAUAAUAGAUUGGUCUCCUUCUUUCUCUUCAUACAGUAUUUUUACUUUUUGUACUAUUGGCUCAUCAAGCUUGAUAGGUUAGUCUACUUUUAUCAAAUGCAUAUGCAAGUCAAGAGUUGUUAUUUUAAUAAUAAACCUAAACUAGGAGCUUAGGUGACUCAUCUGAUAAUAUUCGGUAAGUAAGAGGCUCUUCAAGGCCCAACCCUGUAUUUACUUCUUUGUGGCCUCCACUUUGUGUAGGCACCACCUCAGUGAAUCACACUGGCGGGCUGUCACUCAUUCUCAGAAGACCACAACAUCAAAAUAAAACCCUUAGAAAGUAUAGGCGCUGAAGUAACAGUUACAGUUUAAAGGCACCUACGGUUGACUGUAUCAUGAAGGCAACCUACAAUUUGAGUCUUUAUUUGGUCAUUGACAAGAGUCUUAAGUUUUUUAGUCAAAACUUCAGUGAAAUUUAGAAAUUUUGGCCCCAAGAUAUUGAUUUUCUUGUUUAUAUGAAUGCUUUUAAGACUUUGCUGUUUAUGAUAAUUUUUUAGGGGUCUCUGGAAAAGUUGAGUAGACAGAAACUAAGGAAGGAAGAGAUGUACUGUCAAACUGUAAUUCAAUAGUACUGUGAUUUCUGCCUUCAUGUAGUAAGAAGUGGAAAGUAGUAUAAGGAGAUUCGAACCUUCCCGGCCUCUUUGCAGAGAAUCAAGACUAAGACAUGGAACAGUGGAUUUGAAAGCUAUGGCAGCUCCAACUAUGGGGGAGCCAGCGGCUACACACAGUCCCCAUGGGACUUUGGAUCACCCAGACCUUCUCAGGCCGAAAAGAAACCAAGAGCCUCAGCCUAGCACAUUGUACCCUGUACUAUAUCUCAGCUGCUUUCUGCCACUUUGGUUGAUGAAGGGUUCAGAAGUGGGAAUGUUGAGAUUUCACACGUCACUAUUGUGGGGAUCAUCAGACAGGCAGAGAAAGCUCCAACCAGCAUUGUUCACAAAAUAGAUGACAUGACAGCUCCACCCAUAGAUGUUUGCCAUUGGGUUGACACAGAUCACGCCAGCAGUGAAAACACUGUGGUUCCUCCAGAAACAUGUGAAAGUGGCAGGCCACCUGAGAUCUUUUCAGAAUAAAAAGAGCCUGGUAGCCUUUAAGAUCAUGCCCCUGGAGGAUAUGAAUGAGUUCACCGCACGUAUUCUAGAAGUGAUUAAUGCACACAUGAUACUAAGCAAAGCUAAUAGCUAGCCCUCAGCAGGGAGAGCACCUAUCAGCAAUCUAGGAAUGAGUGAAGCAGGGAACUUUGGUGGGAAUAGCUUUAUGUCAGCAAAUGGCCUCACUGUGGCCCAAAACCAGGUGUUGAAUUUGAUUAAGGCUUGUCCAGGACCUGAAGGGUUGAACUUUCAAGAUCUCAAGAACCAGCUGAAACACAUGUCUGUAUCCUCAAUCGAGCAAGCUGUGGCUUUUCUGAGCAAUGAGGGGCCUAUCUAUUCUACUGUGGAUGAUGAUCAUUUUAAAUCCACAGAUGCAGAAUAACUGGAUCUAACUGGAUGCCUGAGAUAUUUUACAGCUGGACCUAGUUUCACAGUCUCUUGUCUGCAGCUCUGCAUAUGUUUGGUCAGGUGGCUUCUAGGAAGUAGGUUUCAUGUAUAAAAGAUCUCUACUGACGUCCUUUUGAAACCUACUGCUCUUCUGUUUUGUUUUGUUUGAACUUCAAAGGGAGAUGAACAAUUGACAGGAAUGCAAUCUAGGGUGGGAUCUCUUGAGGAAGUUACAAAUAAGCUUCUUACAACAUCAAGAUAGAUGGAAUUGGAACGACGCUACCAGGAGAGUACUUACAUAGUGCUCGGGAGUUUCUCUUUUGAAAAUAUUUCCUGCUGAAAGAAGAUGAGCAGAACCACGGCCUUGUAGGCAGAGCCCUAACCAAGUAACCUGCUGGCCUCUGCCUGUUUUUAUUUCCCAGUUUGGUUGUGUGGCAUUACUUUCUGAAUUGCACUUUCCUGCUUGUCAUGACUGCUGCUUGUCGUGACGAUACGUUUCUGUGAACAUGAAGUUAUGUGGUGGUGCCUCCAGGGGCAGAGGAAAGGGAGUGUUACUGCGUUUUGUACAAAAUAAAUACAUUCACAUGUUUAAUAAAACAGUUCUAUUGUAGUAACUUGUUAAAAAAAA
This is an RNA transcript of Sapajus apella (tufted capuchin), 3901 nucleotides long. It is a transcript of the gene named replication protein A 32 kDa subunit pseudogene, with no coding region annotated. The transcript has a single exon. The record is from RefSeq and is a predicted model, not a curated record. Lineage: Eukaryota; Metazoa; Chordata; Mammalia; Primates; Cebidae.